UUAUAAAUAUAAUAUUUGAUCCUUUCGUACUAAAAUAUUUCUUUUAUUUAAGAUAGAAACCAACCUGGCUUACACCGGUUUAAACUCAGAUCAUGUAAAAUUUCAAAGGUCGAACAGACCUAAUAUUUUAGCUUCUACACCAAAAAUAAAUUUUAAUCCAACAUCGAGGUCGCAAACCUUUUUUUCAAUAAGUACUAUUAAAAAGAUUACGCUGUUAUCCCUAAGGUAAUUUAAUCUUUUAAUCAUUUUUUUGGAUCAAUAAUUCAAUUAUUAUUGUAUUAAUAAAAAAAAAGUUAGUUUAAUUUUUUUGUCACCCCAACAAAACUUAAAUUAAAUUAAAAAAUAAAAUUUCUAAAAUUCAUAAUUAAAUUUUUAGUAAAACUCUAUAGGGUCUUCUCGUCUUUAAACUUUAUUUAAGCUUUUUAACUUAAAAAUAAAAUUCUAUUAAUAAAAUUGAAACAGUAAUUUUCUCAUCAAACCAUUCAUACAAGCUUUCAAUUAAAAAACUAAUGAUUAUGCUACCUUUGCACAGUCAAAAUACUGCGGCCCUUCAAAAUUCAGUGGGCAGGCCAAACUUUAAAUUAAAAUC
This 589-nucleotide ribosomal RNA is filed under the name Henosepilachna enneasticta. Its description in RNAcentral is "partial 16S ribosomal RNA". The record is from RNAcentral. Lineage: Eukaryota; Metazoa; Arthropoda; Insecta; Coleoptera; Coccinellidae.